AGAGUUUGAUCCUGGCUCAGAUUGAACGCUGGCGGCAGGCUUAACACAUGCAAGUCGAGCGGAGAUGAGGUGCUUGCACCUUAUCUUAGCGGCGGACAGGUGAGUAAUGCUUAGGAAUCUGCCAUUUAGUGGGGGACAACAUUCCGAAAGGAAUGCUAAUACCGCAUACGUCCUACGGGAGAAAGCAGGGGAUCUUCGGACCUUGCGCUAAAUGAUGAGCCUAAGUCGGAUUAGCUAGUUGGUGGGGUAAAGGCCUACCAAGGCGACGAUCUGUAGCGGGUCUGAGAGGAUGAUCCGCCACACUGGGACUGAGACACGGCCCAGACUCCUACGGGAGGCAGCAGUGGGGAAUAUUGGACAAUGGGCGGAAGCCUGAUCCAGCCAUGCCGCGUGUGUGAAGAAGGCCUUUUGGUUGUAAAGCACUUUAAGCGAGGAGGAGGCUACCUAGAUUAAUACUCUGGGAUAGUGGACGUUACUCGCAGAAUAAGCACCGGCUAACUCUGUGCCAGCAGCCGCGGUAAUAC
RNAcentral lists this ribosomal RNA (524 nucleotides) under uncultured Acinetobacter sp. RNAcentral describes it as "bacterial SSU rRNA". It matches the Rfam family "Bacterial small subunit ribosomal RNA", at positions 8 to 526 of the family's 1533-position model. Lineage: Bacteria; Pseudomonadati; Pseudomonadota; Gammaproteobacteria; Moraxellales; Moraxellaceae. The record is from RNAcentral.